ACGAACGCUGGCGGCGUGCUUAACACAUGCAAGUCGUACGGUAAGGCCCUUUCGGGGGUCCACGAGUGGCGACCGGGUGAGUAACACGUGAGUAACCUGCCCACAACUUUGGGAUAACGCUAGGAAACUGGUGCUAAUACUGGAUAUGUGCUCCUGCUGCAUGGUGGGGGUUGGAAAGCUCCGGCGGUUGUGGAUGGACUCGCGGCCUAUCAGCUUGUUGGUGGGGUAGUGGCCUACCAAGGCGGCGACGGGUAGCCGGCCUGAGAGGGUGACCGGCCACAUUGGGACUGAGAUACGGCCCAGACUCCUACGGGAGGCAGCAGUGGGGAAUAUUGCACAAUGGGCGCAAGCCUGAUGCAGCAACGCCGCGUGCGGGAUGACGGCCUUCGGGUUGUAAACCGCUUUCAGCAGGGACGAAGCUUUUCGUGACGGUACCUGCAGAAGAAGCACCGGCUAACUACGUG
RNAcentral lists this ribosomal RNA (464 nucleotides) under uncultured bacterium. Its description in RNAcentral is "partial 16S ribosomal RNA". It matches the Rfam family "Bacterial small subunit ribosomal RNA", at positions 29 to 507 of the family's 1533-position model. The record is from RNAcentral.